UCUCUCGCUGGCGCUGGCACAGGAGCUUGGGAUCCGUCUCCUCUUUCGCCUCCUCCACCUUGGGGGCCCCGGGCUACUCUCUCCCAGCCCCUGUUGCCCUGUGAUCUGUAGGUCCUUGGGGACGCAUAGUUAAGGUGCCAGGACAUCCUGGAAGCUGGGAAAUGAUUUCUUCUGGACCAUGGCUGGAGAAGGAAAGAAGGUGUGUUUUGCCUGAUUCGGGGACUACAGAGAGAACCAAGUUCUGCAGGCCUGUCACCUAAGUCUCAGGUGAGUAUGAAUUCUCUUGUGUUUCUGGUAGAUUGUUGCAGUGUCAGGACCAAGGUCAAAUGAAUUAUAGCCAAGUCUACAGUAAGAUGUGGCUGUAUUCUCUUUUGAAGCCGGGACCAUGAUUGGCAAGCUUGCCUCUUGUUCAAGUGCUCACCCUCUGAAGAUGUCUUCCUUGGUCUUUGCCUCCAGCUGGGUGUCACAAACUCUGAACUGGAUUCCAAGGCUUUCAUGAAUGCACUUAUGUUUGCUGUGGCAGCUGCAUUAUGUUGUGGGGGAUGUGCAUGCGGAACCUCCUAUUCUGUCUUCUUGCUUAUGUUACUCUCCUUUAUGUUUCACUUUCUGAAAUGAAUGUCAAGCUGGUGAUUUUCAGAUUAAAAAAUUCUAAACUAAAUUGUCAAAUUUACACAUUA
This is a long non-coding RNA of Nomascus leucogenys (northern white-cheeked gibbon), 677 nucleotides long. RefSeq lists it as uncharacterized. The record is from RefSeq and is a predicted model, not a curated record. Lineage: Eukaryota; Metazoa; Chordata; Mammalia; Primates; Hylobatidae. The transcript is spliced from 2 exons.